Molecule: ribosomal RNA, 1091 nt
Filed under: Enterococcus durans
Lineage: Bacteria; Bacillati; Bacillota; Bacilli; Lactobacillales; Enterococcaceae
Description: bacterial SSU rRNA
Rfam family: Bacterial small subunit ribosomal RNA
Source: RNAcentral
AGUCGUACGCUUCUUUUUCCACCGGAGCUUGCUCCACCGGAAAAAGAAGAGUGGCGAACGGGUGAGUAACACGUGGGUAACCUGCCCAUCAGAAGGGGAUAACACUUGGAAACAGGUGCUAAUACCGUAUAACAAUCGAAACCGCAUGGUUUUGAUUUGAAAGGCGCUUUCGGGUGUCGCUGAUGGAUGGACCCGCGGUGCAUUAGCUAGUUGGUGAGGUAACGGCUCACCAAGGCCACGAUGCAUAGCCGACCUGAGAGGGUGAUCGGCCACAUUGGGACUGAGACACGGCCCAAACUCCUACGGGAGGCAGCAGUAGGGAAUCUUCGGCAAUGGACGAAAGUCUGACCGAGCAACGCCGCGUGAGUGAAGAAGGUUUUCGGAUCGUAAAACUCUGUUGUUAGAGAAGAACAAGGAUGAGAGUAACUGUUCAUCCCUUGACGGUAUCUAACCAGAAAGCCACGGCUAACUACGUGCCAGCAGCCGCGGUAAUACGUAGGUGGCAAGCGUUGUCCGGAUUUAUUGGGCGUAAAGCGAGCGCAGGCGGUUUCUUAAGUCUGAUGUGAAAGCCCCCGGCUCAACCGGGGAGGGUCAUUGGAAACUGGGAGACUUGAGUGCAGAAGAGGAGAGUGGAAUUCCAUGUGUAGCGGUGAAAUGCGUAGAUAUAUGGAGGAACACCAGUGGCGAAGGCGGCUCUCUGGUCUGUAACUGACGCUGAGGCUCGAAAGCGUGGGGAGCAAACAGGAUUAGAUACCCUGGUAGUCCACGCCGUAAACGAUGAGUGCUAAGUGUUGGAGGGUUUCCGCCCUUCAGUGCUGCAGCUAACGCAUUAAGCACUCCGCCUGGGGAGUACGACCGCAAGGUUGAAACUCAAAGGAAUUGACGGGGGCCCGCACAAGCGGUGGAGCAUGUGGUUUAAUUCGAAGCAACGCGAAGAACCUUACCAGGUCUUGACAUCCUUUGACCACUCUAGAGAUAGAGCUUCCCCUUCGGGGGCAAGUGACAGGUGGUGCAUGGUUGUCGUCAGCUCGUGUCGUGAGAUGUUGGGUUAGUCCCGCAACGAGCGCACCCUUAUUGUUAUUGCCAUCAUU